GUCGAACGACGUAGUGGCAGACGGGUGAGUAACGCGUGGGAACGUACCUUUCGCUACGGAAUAGCUCUGGGAAACUGGUGGUAAUACCGUAUACGCCCUUCGGGGGAAAGAUUUAUCGGCGAAAGAUCGGCCCGCGUUAGAUUAGGUAGUUGGUGGGGUAAUGGCCUACCAAGCCUACGAUCUAUAGCUGGUCUGAGAGGAUGAUCAGCCACACUGGGACUGAGACACGGCCCAGACUCCUACGGGAGGCAGCAGUGGGGAAUCUUGCACAAUGGGCGAAAGCCUGAUGCAGCCAUGCCGCGUGAAUGAUGAAGGCCUUAGGGUUGUAAAAUUCUUUCGCCAGGGAUGAUAAUGACAGUACCUGGUAAAGAAGCCCCGGCUAACUUCGUGCCAGCAGCCGCGGUAAUACGAAGGGGGCUAGCGUUGUUCGGAAUUACUGGGCGUAAAGCGCACGUAGGCGGACUUUUAAGUCAGGUGUGAAAUCCCGGGGCUCAACCUCGGAACUGCAUUUGAAACUGGAAGUCUGGAGUUCAGGAGAGGUUAGCGGAAUACCGAGUGUAGAGGUGAAAUUCGUAGAUAUUCGGUGGAACACCAGUGGCGAAGGCGGCUAACUGGACUG
This 619-nucleotide ribosomal RNA is filed under the name uncultured bacterium. RNAcentral describes it as "bacterial SSU rRNA". It matches the Rfam family "Bacterial small subunit ribosomal RNA", at positions 61 to 736 of the family's 1533-position model. The record is from RNAcentral.